This 156-nucleotide ribosomal RNA is filed under the name Triticum aestivum (bread wheat). RNAcentral describes it as "partial small subunit ribosomal RNA". Lineage: Eukaryota; Viridiplantae; Streptophyta; Magnoliopsida; Poales; Poaceae. The record is from RNAcentral.
AGAAGUUGGUUAUCAACUUCUCAUUUUGUUCUAGGAUUCUUCUUUUUUGUGGGCCAUUUAUGGCAUGCAGGAAGAGCCCGAGCUGCUGUAGCAGGUUUUGAAAAGGGAAUCGAUCGUGAUUUGGAACCUGUUCUUUACAUGAACCCUCUUAACUAA